Molecule: ribosomal RNA, 462 nt
Filed under: uncultured bacterium
Lineage: Bacteria
Description: partial 16S ribosomal RNA
Rfam family: Bacterial small subunit ribosomal RNA
Source: RNAcentral
CGAACGCUGGCGGCGUGCUUAACACAUGCAAGUCGAACGGAAAGGCCCUGCUUGCAGGGUACUCGAGUGGCGAACGGGUGAGUAACACGUGGGUGAUCUGCCCUGCACUUCGGGAUAAGCCUGGGAAACUGGGUCUAAUACCGGAUAGGAGCCAUUUUUAGUGUGAUGGUUGGAAAGUUUUUUCGGUGUAGGAUGAGCUCGCGGCCUAUCAGCUUGUUGGUGGGGUAAUGGCCUACCAAGGCGGCGACGGGUAGCCGGCCUGAGAGGGUGGACGGCCACAUUGGGACUGAGAUACGGCCCAGACUCCUACGGGAGGCAGCAGUGGGGAAUAUUGCACAAUGGGCGCAAGCCUGAUGCAGCGACGCCGCGUGGGGGAUGACGGCCUUCGGGUUGUAAACUCCUUUCGCUAGGGACGAAGCUUUUUGUGACGGUACCUAGAUAAGAAGCACCGGCUAACUACGU